GAUGAAGAACGUAGCGAAAUGCGAUAAGUAAUGUGAAUUGCAGAAUUCAGUGAAUCACCGAGUCUUUGAACGCACAUUGCGCCCCCUGGUAUUCCGGGGGGCAUGCCUGUCCGAGCGUCAUUGCUGCCCUCAAGCACGGCUUGUGUGUUGGGCUCCGUCCCCCCGGGGACGGGUCCGAAAGGCAGCGGCGGCACCGAGUCCGGUCCUCGAGCGUAUGGGGCUUUGUCACCCGCUCUGUAGGCCCGGCCGGCGCCAGCCGACAACCAAUCAUCCUUUUUUCAGGUUGACCUCGGAUCAGGUAGGGAUACCCGCUGAACUUAAGCAUAUCAAUAAGCGGAGGA
This 341-nucleotide unclassified non-coding RNA is filed under the name soil metagenome. RNAcentral describes it as "partial contains 5.8S ribosomal RNA, internal transcribed spacer 2, and large subunit ribosomal RNA". The stretch from base 1 to 120 matches the Rfam family "5.8S ribosomal RNA", at positions 35 to 154 of the family's 154-position model. The record is from RNAcentral.